Molecule: RNase P RNA, 432 nt
Filed under: Rhodoferax mekongensis
Lineage: Bacteria; Pseudomonadati; Pseudomonadota; Betaproteobacteria; Burkholderiales; Comamonadaceae
Description: RNase P RNA component class A
Rfam family: Bacterial RNase P class A
About the family: Ribonuclease P (RNase P) is a ubiquitous endoribonuclease, found in archaea, bacteria and eukarya as well as chloroplasts and mitochondria. Its best characterised activity is the generation of mature 5'-ends of tRNAs by cleaving the 5'-leader elements of precursor-tRNAs.
Source: RNAcentral
GAAGCCCGCCAGACCACCGCUGGUGCAAUUCUGGAAACAGAGCACUGGAGGAACGUCCGGACUGCAUAGGGCAGCGUAGCAGCUAACGGCUGUCCACCGACAAGUCGGCCACGCAAGUGGCAGGCCCUAAGGUGAGGAUCAGAGCAACAGAGACGAGUUGAUGGAAUGACCUUUGGGUGUUCUAUGCGUGCAGCGCGGCGCAAGCCGUGCCCCGGGCAACCGGGUACGCAUAGCCACCUGAUGAACGCAGGACAUCAGGUGAAACGGGCAAUCUCUACGCGCAGCAAUACCAAGUAGGCACACGUUGACGGGGCCCCCGGAGUGUGCGGGUAGGUAGCAUCGAGCCGUCCGGGUGACCGGCGGCCCAGAGUAAUGGUGGUCACGUGGGGGAAACCCCAUGCACAGAAUCCGGCUUAUCGGUGGGCUUCACAC